RNAcentral lists this ribosomal RNA (490 nucleotides) under uncultured bacterium. RNAcentral's name for it is "partial 16S ribosomal RNA". It matches the Rfam family "Bacterial small subunit ribosomal RNA", at positions 30 to 507 of the family's 1533-position model. The record is from RNAcentral.
AUUGAACGCUGGCGGCAGGCCUAACACAUGCAAGUCGAACGGUAACAGGAAACAGCUUGCUGUUUCGCUGACGAGUGGCGGACGGGUGAGUAAUGUCUGGGAAACUGCCUGAUGGAGGGGGAUAACUACUGGAAACGGUAGCUAAUACCGCAUAACGUCGCAAGACCAAAGAGGGGGACCUUCGGGCCUCUUGCCAUCGGAUGUGCCCAGAUGGGAUUAGCUAGUAGGUGGGGUAACGGCUCACCUAGGCGACGAUCCCUAGCUGGUCUGAGAGGAUGACCAGCCCCACUGGAACUGGGACACGGUCCCGACUCCUACGGGAGGCAGCAGUGGGGAAUAUUGCACAAUGGGCGCAAGCCUGAUGCAGCCAUGCCGCGUGUAUGAAGAAGGCCUUCGGGUUGUAAAGUACUUUCAGCGGGGAGGAAGGGAGUAAAGUUAAUACCUUUACUCAUUGACGUUACCCGCAGAAGAAGCACCGGCUAACUCCGUG